GUGUGUGUCUGGUGUGUGUGUCUGGUGUGUGUGUAGUGGGGCGUGUAGGUUACUAGGUCCUAACCUUUUUUCUGUUAUUUUUAUCGGUCCCCACAUCCUGCUCUCUCUCUCUCUAUCUCUCUGUCUCCACCAUUCAUUCACACUCACCACCCUCCAUAACCACUUUAUCUGCAGUACAUACACACACACAACAAAUGUAAACACAUUCAAACCUUUACACACACACGGAUGCAAAUUCCAUGUCUGCUUCUUCAGUCAAAAACAAACUCAGUCAAAUGGGGUUUUCUGGAUAAGGAGGAAGGAGAGAAGAUGACUACUCUCAGAACAACAGUAGUAGUUUUACUGGGAGCCUCAGUCCUAGGAGCCUCAGUCCUAGGAGCCUCAGUCCAAGGAGCCUCAGUCCCAGGAGCCUCAGUCCUAGGCAGACCGUUGCUGUACGGCCCCUCAACAGCCCUACAGAAGACUGUUGAAGAAUUCCAGUGUGAAGUGCUGCAUUACCCUAAAGAAGAGUCCAUCCUCUACCAGCUAUUCAGGGAAGGUGACCGGUCCAAGACCUUAGGCUUCUACAGCGCUCUGUCUGGUGAGAUGGCCAAUUUCCCUCUGUUCAUCACUGCUUCCUACGAGGGCUACAUGGUGUGUGUAGCCAGCGUCCAGAACAACACAGUAAUACAACCCACCGUCAGUGAAAGACACCACCUCAGAGUAGUCGACCCAGUCAACGGUGCAGAGGUUGUAGUCCAAUCAGGGUCUGUGGAGUUCUACGAAGGGAAGCCACUGUCCCUACGUUGUAACAUCACAAAAGGGAACCACGUCUCCUACCAUUGGCUGGUGGAUGGGAAGCCCCUCCCCCUGUCUCCUUUACACAAUCAGACACAGGAACUCUUCAUCUACAGGAUGGUGCCCCAGGACAACUUUACCAAGGUCUACUCCUCCAGGAGCACUGCCAAGGUCAUCAAGGUCAAAAGUCAGAGAGCUUGUGUCUGAACUGGACCUCCUCUUCCUGGUACUGAAGGAAAGAGACGGGACCUACUUUGCCCUCGUCACGUGUCAAUCACUCAAGGGGACUCCGCCCAUCACCUUCUCCCUCUACAGCAGGUCAGAGUUCAUCAGCACGGAGACGGUUGACGAGCGAUUCGCCACGUUCUCUAUUCCAGUGGUUCUAGAUCUCCACAUGGGCUUUCUACAGUGUCAGGCGGAGAACGGAGACCGGGUGGUGUAUGGUCAGUGGACGGCCAUGCACGUUGUUUCAGUAGGUGGAGCUGUGACAAUGCACUACGACGCCGACGUGGGAGAAAGGCCCACAAUGGAGAAGUUGAGGUUCUACUGUUCCGUGGAGAGGGGAACCUUUCCACAGUACCGCUGGUUCCUCAAUGGAACUGUUCUAGAAGGCCGUGGAGACUUCUACUGGGUGGAGAACCAGCCGAAGCAAUCCAUUUUGUUGUUAUCCGUGGGGAGGAGCAGUGCCGGAACGUACCAUUGUGAUGUGUCCAACAGCUUUGAUGGCACUACGGUGAUCAGCAGUGAGGAGAGGUACAUCGAUAAAGAAGUGUUGAACCACCUCCCUACCGUGGUGGUGGCUGUUGUGUUCGGCUGUUUCCUCUUCCUGGUUACCUUGGUGACCACCUGUUGUUUCAUUGGUCUGCUGUACCGGAAAAGACAGUGUCUUGUUGAAAAGUCUACGCUGGAUCUCAAGUUGGGUCUGGAGAUGCACAACAUAAUGGUGUCUGAUGAUGAAGGGUUCCUGGGUCGCCCGUGCAUUAUGGUGGCCGAGGAUGAUAACGCAGUUGUGUGUGUGUGUGUGUGUGUGUGUGUGUGUGUGUGUGUGUGUGGAAAGAUAAUAAGUACAUACUUCAAGUUCAUUUCGAACAUCCCCACAGAGUGUAACAUAUUCCCAUUUUCUCCCAAUGAAGGAUGAAGAGGAAUACAUGGAGGAUGAGGGAAUGGUAAGAGCAGCCAGAAUCAUUGACUCAGAUCAGGAGGAAGUAGAAUCGACAGACGAGUGGCUGCAGCUACAACAGGAACUGAAGAAGACCUUGGUGGAUGAAAUUCCAGAAAAGAGCUUUUAAAUUCUACAACUAUCUAAAAAGAAGCGCUGCCUACACAUUCCAUCACAAAGCCCUCACCUACAGAGAGAUGAACCUGGAGAAGAGUCCCCUCAGCCAGCUGGUUCUGGGGCUCUGUUCACAAACACAAACAGACCCCACAGAGUCCCAGGACAGCAACACAAUUAGACUCAACCAAGUUAUGACGAAGCAAAAAGAUAAUUAUUUGACGUACUGGAAAUAAUCACCCCAAAAAACAGAGCAAAUUAGAAUGCUAUCUGGCUCUAAACAGAGAGUACACAGUGGUAGAAUACCUGACCACUGUGACUGACCCAAAAUUAUGUACAGACUCAGUGAGCAUAGCCUUGCUAUUGAGAAAGGCCGCUGUAGGCAGACCUGGCUCUCAAGAGAAGACGGGCUAUGUGAACACUGCCCACAAAAUGAUUUGGAAACUGAGCUGCACUUCCUAACCUCCUGCCAAGUGUAUGACCAUGUUAGAGACACAUAUUUCCCUCAGAUUACACAGAUCCACAAAGAAUUUGAAAACAAUUUAAACAUUGAUGAACUCCCAUAUCUUCUAGGUGAAGAUAUGUGCCAUCACAGCAGCAAGAUGUGUGGCCUGUUGCCAUUAGAAAAGGGCAACCAGUGCAGCACAAACAAAAUUGUAAAUACUACCAAUACUUAUGUUUAUUUAUCUUCCCCUACUAUUCGUACUACAACUAUUUGCACGUUGCUAAAACAUUGUACAUAGAUGAUAAUAUAACACUUGAAAUGUCAUUUUCAAACCUUUGUCACUGCAAUGUUUACUGUUAAUAGUUUUUUGUCUCCUCG
Salmo salar (Atlantic salmon) is the source of this 2873-nucleotide non-coding RNA. NCBI's taxonomy places the organism in Eukaryota, Metazoa, Chordata, Actinopteri, Salmoniformes, Salmonidae. The record is from RefSeq and is a predicted model, not a curated record.